Molecule: non-coding RNA, 135 nt
Organism: Triticum aestivum (bread wheat)
Lineage: Eukaryota; Viridiplantae; Streptophyta; Magnoliopsida; Poales; Poaceae
Source: Rfam
UAAAUACUCCCUCCGUCCGGAAAUACUUGUCAUCAAAAUGGAUAAAAGGGGAUGUAUCUAGAUGUAUUUUAGUUCUAGAUACAUCUCUUUUUAUCUAUUUUGAUGACAAGUAUUUUCGGACGGAGGGAGUAUCAC